Molecule: ribosomal RNA, 367 nt
Filed under: uncultured organism
Description: partial 16S ribosomal RNA
Rfam family: Bacterial small subunit ribosomal RNA
Source: RNAcentral
GGAGGGUGCAAGCGUUGUCCGGAUUUAUUGGGUUUAAAGGGUGCGUAGGCGGCCUGACAAGUCAGUGGUGAAAUCCCCCCGCUCAACGGGGGAACUGCCAUUGAAACUGUAAGGCUUGAGGACAGUCGAGGUAGGCGGAAUUUAUGGUGUAGCGGUGAAAUGCAUAGAUACCAUAAAGAACACCGAUAGCGAAGGCAGCUUACUAGACUGUACCUGACGCUGAGGCACGAAAGCGUGGGGAGCGAACAUGAUUAGAUACCCUGGUAGUCCACGCCGUAAACGAUGAUCACUGGAUGUAUGCGAUAGACAGUAUGCGUCUGAGCGAAAGCGUUAAGUGAUCCACCUGGGGAGUACGUCGGCAACGAUG